This 29-nucleotide non-coding RNA is filed under the name Xenopus tropicalis (tropical clawed frog). The record is from RNAcentral. RNAcentral also lists the same sequence under 1 other name. Lineage: Eukaryota; Metazoa; Chordata; Amphibia; Anura; Pipidae.
UGAAAAAGCAUAGUUGAUGUCACAGGCCC